Long non-coding RNA from Gallus gallus (chicken), 980 nucleotides. NCBI's taxonomy places the organism in Eukaryota, Metazoa, Chordata, Aves, Galliformes, Phasianidae. The record is from Ensembl.
AAACCAUUUCUCCUUGUCCUGAUAUUAUCUACUCUUGUAAAGAGCUGACUCCCCUCUUGUUUGUAGGCUCCCAUUAGGUACUGGAAAGCUGCAGUGAGGUCACCCUGCAGCCUUCUCUUCUCCAGGAAGGUUUCAUUCUACCUGCCUCUGCCUCUUCCUUAUCACACACCCUUCCUCUCAGGAAUCUCACAUACUAAGAGAUCAGAAAAUUAUUUAGCAACAACAGAAGGCUGUGAGGUCCAAACACAUCCAUGCCCUGCAUUCCCUUGGAUGAAAGGACUGUGGGCUGAGAAGCUGACCCUGUGGGAUGGCUACCAUUGGUGAUGUUGAUCAAAGGUAUUUGAUCUCACCACCUAGACUGAAAUGGGAUGGCAGCUGGGGAAUCAGACAAAGAGCUACUCAUCCAACAUAAUCACAGCCUACCACGAGGUCUGGUCUCAGUUCAACCAGCGUUCCCUGGAAGAAGUGCUCAGGGUAAUGGUUGUAAUCUUUCGGGCAUUCUGAAGCUGUAAACCCAAGAUCAGCUCCUGCGCUACCUGGAGCAGAAAGUAAUUUGAUUUUCCAUUUCUGGCCUUUGCAGUGAGUUGACUAAAGAACUGUUUUCUGGGAGGAAAUCUGUGAGUGUACAUACAGGCCCAGACUUUUAUGAAGAUCAGCAGUAUUUCUGCAGAAAUCACUGGACUUAGACCAGGGCAGAGUUGGUGUUAAUGAGAAUGAAAUCCUGCAAAGCCUGGAAGCAAUCCAAAUCCUAUGUCCUUCUGAAGCAUCGUAAUUGAUUCAGAGCCCCUAAAAGUUGUGUUUUAUGGAGAUAGUUACAACUCCUUUUGUUUUUGUCCAUCCUUCUCCUGAAGGUCAGUCUGUCCCUAAAGGGAAGAGACCAACUAUUCCAUCCCUCCACACAGGGGUUGGUUGCCCUCAGUCCUGGCCAUCCCUUUGGUUCAUCUCUCCUCAGCUCUGUCAUGACAGCAAAUGCUCCCCUG